AGUGAACGCUGGCGGUAGGCCUAACACAUGCAGGUCGAACGGCAGCACAGUAAGAGCUUGCUCUUACGGGUGGCGAGUGGCGGACGGGUGAGGAAUACAUCGGAAUCUACUUUUUCGUGGGGGAUAACGUAGGGAAACUUACGCUAAUACCGCAUACGACCUACGGGUGAAAGCAGGGGAUCUUCGGACCUUGCGCGAUUGAAUGAGCCGAUGUCGGAUUAGCUAGUUGGCGGGGUAAAGGCCCACCAAGGCGACGAUCCGUAGCUGGUCUGAGAGGAUGAUCAGCCACACUGGAACUGAGACACGGCCCAGACUCCUACGGGAGGCAGCAGUGGGGAAUAUUGGACAAUGGGCGCAAGCCUGAUCCAGCCAUACCGCGUGGGUGAAGAAGGCCUUCGGGUUGUAAAGCCCUUUUGUUGGGAAAGAAAAGCAGCAGGUUAAUACCCCGCUGUUCUGACGGUACCCAAAGAAUAAGCACCGGCUAACUUCGUG
This 492-nucleotide ribosomal RNA is filed under the name uncultured bacterium. RNAcentral describes it as "partial 16S ribosomal RNA". It matches the Rfam family "Bacterial small subunit ribosomal RNA", at positions 29 to 507 of the family's 1533-position model. The record is from RNAcentral.